Molecule: ribosomal RNA, 431 nt
Filed under: uncultured bacterium
Lineage: Bacteria
Description: partial 16S ribosomal RNA
Rfam family: Bacterial small subunit ribosomal RNA
Source: RNAcentral
AACGAACGCUGGCGGCAGGCUUAACACAUGCAAGUCGAACGCCCCGCAAGGGGAGUGGCAGACGGGUGAGUACCGCGUGGGAACAUACCCUUUUCUACGGAAUAGCUCUGGGAAACUGGAAUUAAUACCGUAUACGCCCUACGGGGGAAAGAUUUAUCGGGGAAGGAUUGGCCCGCGUUGGAUUAGCUAGUUGGUGGGGUAAAGGCCUACCAAGGCGACGAUCCAUAGCUGGUCUGAGAGGAUGAUCAGCCACAUUGGGACUGAGACACGGCCCAAACUCCUACGGGAGGCAGCAGUGGGGAAUAUUGGACAAUGGGCGCUAGCCUGAUCCAGCCAGGCCGCGUGAGUGAUGAAGGCCUUAGGGUUGUAAAGCUCUUUCACCGAUGAAGAUAAUGACGGUAGUCGGAGAAGAAGCCCCGGCUAACUUCGUG